RNAcentral lists this ribosomal RNA (440 nucleotides) under uncultured bacterium. RNAcentral describes it as "bacterial SSU rRNA". It matches the Rfam family "Bacterial small subunit ribosomal RNA", at positions 392 to 829 of the family's 1533-position model. The record is from RNAcentral.
CCAUGCCGCGUGCGGGAAGAAGGCUUCGGGUUGUAACCGCUUUUGUCAGGGAAGAAAUCCUUUGAGCUAAUACCUCGGGGGGAUGACGGUACCUGAAGAAUAAGCACCGGCUAACUACGUGCCAGCAGCCGCGGUAAUACGUAGGGUGCGAGCGUUAAUCGGAAUUACUGGGCGUAAAGCGUGCGCAGGCGGUCUUGCAAGACAGGUGUGAAAUCCCCGGGCUUAACCUGGGAACUGCACUUGUGACUGCAAGGCUGGAGUACGGCAGAGGGGGAUGGAAUUCCGCGUGUAGCAGUGAAAUGCGUAGAUAUGCGGAGGAACACCGAUGGCGAAGGCAAUCCCCUGGGCCUGUACUGACGCUCAUGCACGAAACGUGGGGAGCAAACAGGAUUAGAUACCCUGGUAUCCACGCCCUAAACGAUGUCACUGGUUGUUGGACG